AUUAAUCAUUCAGAAGACCCAGUUGGAUUGUUGAUCAAUAGAUCUGAAGGAAGCCAACAAAUCCCAGUGAAACAGCCACAGAAGAGACUAAUGAAAACCUAGUUCUGCUCAGAUUGAAAGAUCUCAAGGGAAUGAGAAAAAUGGACGCCAUCACAGGCACAUCCUGGCUGGGAGAAAUCUUAUGAUCCUUUCCUCUGUCAGCCACAUCUUCCUGGAGUGGAAACAAAGGCUGCCCAAGGGAGCUGAGAACCAGAAAUGAGGCUCUGACAACAAGGGUUACUUCUGUCUUUUUGUUGUGCUUGUGGUUUGUUUGUGUUCAUUGACCCAAUAAGUGGGUUUCUUUUCUAA
Molecule: non-coding RNA, 348 nt
Organism: Vicugna pacos (alpaca)
Lineage: Eukaryota; Metazoa; Chordata; Mammalia; Artiodactyla; Camelidae
Source: RefSeq, a predicted model, not a curated record